CCUACGGGCGGCAGCAGUGAGGAAUAUUGGUCAAUGGGCGCGAGCCUGAACCAGCCAAGUCGCGUGAAGGAUGACGGCCCUACGGGUCGUAAACUUCUUUUAUAAGGGAAUAAAGUGAGGCACGUGUCCCUUUUUGUAUGUACUUUAUGAAUAAGGAUCGGCUAACUCCGUGCCAGCAGCCGCGGUAAUACGGAGGAUCCGAGCGUUAUCCGGAUUUAUUGGGUUUAAAGGGUGCGUAGAUGGGUUGUUAAGUCAGUGGUGAAAGUCUGUGGCUCAACCGUAAAAUUGCCAUUGAUACUGGCAGUCUUGAGUAUAUUUGAGGCAGGCGGAAUGCGUGGUGUAGCGGUGAAAUGCUUAGAUAUCACGCAGAACCCCGAUUGCGAAGGCAGCCUACCAAGC
RNAcentral lists this ribosomal RNA (399 nucleotides) under uncultured bacterium. Its description in RNAcentral is "partial 16S ribosomal RNA". It matches the Rfam family "Bacterial small subunit ribosomal RNA", at positions 338 to 734 of the family's 1533-position model. The record is from RNAcentral.